CGAGGGAUCAGACCCGAAACCGAGUGAUCUAGGCAUGUCCAGGAUGAAGGUAAGGUAACACUUACUGGAGGUCCGAACCCACAUCUGUUGAAAAAGAUCGGGAUGAGGUGUGCCUAGGGGUGAAAGGCCAAUCAAACUCGGAGAUAGCUGGUUCUCUGCGAAAUCUAUUUAGGUAGAGCGUCAUCCGAAUACCCCGGGGGGUAGAGCACUGGAUGGGUAAUGGGGACCUACAGUCUUACUGAUCCUAACCAAACUCCGAAUACCCGGGAGUACUAUACGGCAGACACACUGCGGGUGCUAAGGUCCGUAGUGAAAAGGGAAACAGCCCUGACCUCCAGCUAAGGCCCCUAAUUCAUGGCUAAGUGGGAAAGCAGGUGGGACGACCAAAACAACCAGGAUGUUGGCUUAGAAGCAGCCAUCAUUUAAAGA
This 429-nucleotide ribosomal RNA is filed under the name Ochromonas sp. CCMP1393. Its description in RNAcentral is "partial Bacterial large subunit ribosomal RNA". It matches the Rfam family "Bacterial large subunit ribosomal RNA", at positions 702 to 1129 of the family's 2925-position model. Lineage: Eukaryota; Chrysophyceae; Chromulinales; Chromulinaceae. The record is from RNAcentral.